RNAcentral lists this ribosomal RNA (200 nucleotides) under uncultured bacterium. RNAcentral's name for it is "partial 16S ribosomal RNA". It matches the Rfam family "Bacterial small subunit ribosomal RNA", at positions 8 to 221 of the family's 1533-position model. The record is from RNAcentral.
AGAGUUUGAUCCUGGCUCAGAAUGAACGUUGGCGGCGUGGAUUAGGCAUGCAAGUCGAACGGGCCGCAAGGCCAGUGGCGGAAGGGUGAGUAAGGCGACGGUAACCAACCCCAGGGUUGGGCAUAGCCGCGGGAAACUGCGGGUAAUUCCCAGCGACGUCCGAGCCGGGCAUCCGGUGCGGACCAAAGUCCUGGCGCCCU